Long non-coding RNA from Juglans microcarpa x Juglans regia, 438 nucleotides. RefSeq lists it as uncharacterized. The record is from RefSeq and is a predicted model, not a curated record. The transcript is spliced from 2 exons. Lineage: Eukaryota; Viridiplantae; Streptophyta; Magnoliopsida; Fagales; Juglandaceae.
UAUAUAUUGUGUUAAUUCAUACAUGUUUUUCCAAAAGGCAACAUGAAGCUGCUAAUUGGGUUCAAACAACACCACCUCCUCAGUUUUUUGGUCUUUGGUACCCUUCUUCUUCCUUGGAGCAUGUCUACAGUGGGCGAGAAGGUGGUGACGGUCAACGCACAACCAUGGAAAGCCCCGCCUCCACCAAUACCAACACCAUUUCGUCCGCCUCCACCUCAAUUCAAAAUACCAAUGUCUCCGCCUCCACCCCCCAAUGGUCCCGGGGGUCCGAAUCAGUAGCAGUCAUUUCCUGUAUUUAGACGCAGUACCAACUAUUCCCCAGUAUAUGGUACUGCGAUCCAUGAAUAUUCUACAUCUCAAUAUAGGAAAAAUGUGAUUUACAAUAUGAUUUGAUCAAUGUACUGCUACCUACUUACUAUAUGAAUAAAUUAUUUGGAA